CAUAGUUGCAGAAUAUGAUGGUUGCCAUGGAUGGAAGUCCCAAUUUGGAGGAUCAUACACCUCUCUCUUUAUGCCCAAGAGAAUGCCUGUAGUAUGCCAAUUGUCUCUUGUUCACUAAUUCACUAUGGCUGUAAGUUAUUGUGCCUUCAAAUCUCUUAAUGUCUUUUGGCCUGAAAAUAUCCGGCCACUUGUUCUCUAGGGACAGAUUUGAAUUGACAUUCAACAAUAUAUGGAUUAAUGAUGUCUGCUAGUCAGCCGUAAACUUCAUUGAGACUAUUGUGUUGGUUCGUUGCUUCAUAACUAUUUUGGUAACAAACGGGUCUGAUAUGGUUAUCCUUCAUGAAACAUUUGGAAUCUUAGGAUGUUUCCAAUUGAAAGUAUUAGUUUUUUUUUUUNNNNNNNNNNNNNNNNNNNNCAUAUGAAGUUCCGUACUUGCAGGAAUUCUAAUCUGUAAUUAAGUAUAAAACUAUGAAUAAACCAUCUGGCUGGGCACCAAACCAAAUUCUUUGUAACUAGUUAAUCAAAGAGAGUUGUGGCAAUUUAAGCAAAAGAAUUAGUCAUUUGGUGUAUAUAAAUUUGAUGUAUGAAGAUCUACACAUGUAUGUAUGUAAGCUAGUAUCUAGUUUUUCAUGAGGAGAAUAUAUAUGGAUGGCUAGUUUCCUAUAAGUAUCUGGUCUUCCUAAAAGUAGUAGCUUAUGUCCUAAAUUUAUAUUGUCGAUUUCUCAUAUGAUCAAAAUACAUUGAGAGAAAUCAUUGAAGAUUUCCUUUGAAAUUGACGGCUUGCCACACUAAAUUUUCCUUCACAUUUGAGAUAUAUGGCUGAUUUCAUUGCAGUUGGUUGCUCCAUUGCAGUAAAUUCAUCUUCCAAAUGGUAA
RNAcentral lists this long non-coding RNA (875 nucleotides) under Fragaria vesca (wild strawberry). RNAcentral describes it as "long non-coding RNA (FVES_LNC003611)". Lineage: Eukaryota; Viridiplantae; Streptophyta; Magnoliopsida; Rosales; Rosaceae. The record is from RNAcentral.